This 433-nucleotide ribosomal RNA is filed under the name uncultured bacterium. RNAcentral's name for it is "partial 16S ribosomal RNA". It matches the Rfam family "Bacterial small subunit ribosomal RNA", at positions 29 to 507 of the family's 1533-position model. The record is from RNAcentral.
AACGAACGCUGGCGGCAUGCCUAACACAUGCAAGUCGAACGAGACCUUCGGGUCUAGUGGCGCACGGGUGCGUAACGCGUGGGAACCUGCCCUUAGGUUCGGAAUAACUCCCCGAAAGGGGUGCUAAUACCGGAUAAUGUCUUCGGACCAAAGAUUUAUCGCCUUUGGAUGGGCCCGCGUUGGAUUAGCUGGUUGGUAGGGUAAAAGCCUACCAAGGCGACGAUCCAUAGCUGGUCUGAGAGGAUGAUCAGCCACACUGGGACUGAGACACGGCCCAGACUCCUACGGGGGGCAGCAGUGGGGAAUAUUGGACAAUGGGCGAAAGCCUGAUCCAGCAAUGCCGCGUGAGUGAUGAAGGCCUUAGGGUUGUAAAGCUCUUUUACCCGGGAUGAUAAUGACAGUACCGGGAGAAUAAGCUCCGGCUAACUCCGUG